AUUGCCGACCAUCCUCAUCCACUGAGCCUCCUCCCUGCAGCUGGCUGAUGUAGCUCACUGGUGUCUGUGUAGAUAGGGAGCUGUGAUAAGAACAAGAGGUCAGAACACAUCCAAGCUCCUUAAGAGAAAGCCUUUCUUUAACCGUUUUUGAAACGCUUCAAAGGCAGAGACUUGUCCAGCCUAAACUGCCUGCUGCUCCUAGCUCCUGAGUCUCAGGGCCCUUGGCUUCUGUCUGCUCUGCUCAGGGCCCUCCAGCGUGGCCACUGCUCAGCCAUGCUCCUGUUGCUCGUCCCAGUGCUCGAGGUGAUUUUUACCCUGGGAGGAACCAGAGCCCAGUCGGUGACCCAGCUUGACAGCCACGUCUCUGUCUCUGAAGGAGCCCUGGUUCUGCUGAGGUGCAACUACUCAUCGUCUGUUCCACCAUAUCUCUUCUGGUAUGUGCAAUACCCCAACCAAGGACUCCAGCUUCUCCUGAAGUACACAUCAGGGGCCACCCUGGUUAAGGGCAUCAACGGUUUUGAGGCUGAAUUUAAGAAGAGUGAAACCUCCUUCCACCUGACGAAACCCUCAGCCCAUGUGAGCGACGCGGCUGAGUACUUCUGUGCUGUGAGUGACACAGUGCUUGAGACUGCAGGAGAGCUGAACACAAACCUCCUGAGAUGCUGAGACUUUCUGUGACUCAAGAACUCAACCUUGAAGUCUGUUUUAUAAUAUUAAAUAGCAGUUCCAAGUUUCUGAUGCUUAUUGAUGUAUGCUGUAUCUUUUUCAUCUAUUUAUUUUUAAACUAUCUGUGACUUUAAAGUGUGUUUCCUGUAGGUAGCAUAAAAGAGCAUCUUUUCUUUUUAUCUACUUUGUUAAUCUCUGUUUUUGCAUUGUGAAGUUUAGAUAAUUAAAAUGGAAUAUAAAUAUC
Molecule: non-coding RNA, 910 nt
Organism: Gorilla gorilla gorilla (western lowland gorilla)
Lineage: Eukaryota; Metazoa; Chordata; Mammalia; Primates; Hominidae
Source: the annotation of a RefSeq genome assembly